CAGAAUGUCCCAGAUGGAGGCAAGGGGCCUUUGGGUUUCCAGCGUACAUCUGUCGUUUGAUUGAGGCCGCCCCUGGGAAGGGCUGAAACCUUGGGUAAGGCAGCUUCCUUCUGUUGAGGGCAAUUUCCAGAGAGAGACUCAGCCGUGAGCCAUCAGCUUCCAACACUACCAGCAGCUGGGGGAGGUUGGGAUAGUAAGAGCCUCUGGUGAGAAGGGAGAGCCGGCCAGAACGCCACAGCGCCCGUUGCCGGUGGCCAUUUUGUAUGAGCUUGGGAAGGGCUCAGGGGCCCGGAGACAAGGGGUCUGUUUCUUUAGGGACCAAAUGACUCUGGAGGGAGAAGCCAAGGCAGGGGAAAGAGAUUGAACAGAGAAGACAGACAGAUGGAGCUCUUAGAACUUGAAGAGACUUAGAGAACUUCAGUCCAAUCCCACAACCCAAUAUCGGACUCCGCCCAAAAGCAAGCGGGAAGUGGCUCGCUGCACCUUCCCUGGAGGGUGGAGAAGUUCUUCCUUAUUGUCAGCUAACAUCAGCCUUCCUCUAUACGCAUUCUCUCCCAUCUCCUUUUCCAGAAGGCUGCUGAGGCUCAUCGCUUGGAAGCACCAGGAAAUGUGUCUCCCUUCCUCCACCGGGCAGAUCCUCAAAUAUUUUGAAGACACUUUUUAUACUCUCUCUAAAUCUUUUCUCCAGGAUAAACAUCCUCAGGCCUGCAUAGACUCUAAGGUUUCUUCCGACCAUACAAUUCAAUUACACUAGGAGAUUCCUUGAUCUUCCUUAUAUGCUAUUGUUCCAAACACUUCUUCAAUCAUCAUAUAUUUAUUAAGUAUCUAUCUGGGGCCAGGCACUUCAGUAGGUUCUGGGGAUACAAAAAUAAACAAGGACAUUCCUGCUCCAUGAGUUGAUGCUCUUUGGGAGCAAAGACAAGGAAAAAUCUCUCUGAUACGACUAGUGCAACCAGCAGCACUUAAGAGAAAGCACGGGAUGUAAGGUGUACUGCCUAGAUUUGAAUUCUGUCCUGACCGCUCACAAGCGUGUGUCUUCGAAUUGCUUAAUCUCUUGAUCUCAUCUCUUGAGUUAAUCUCCUUCAUUCAUAGAAAGGAUAAAUACAAUGUCUACCUCGUAGCAUUGUCAUGAGGAAUUAAAUGGAUGAGUCCAUGUGAGCCUCUUAAAACAGUGCCUGGCACGCAAUAAAGACGCAGUGAAAGGCUCUAGAAACAAGGUGUUCGGAGCUGGCCACAGCACGUCAGAUGUGGCAGACCAGCCUGGAACACAUAUACGUCUAGGCACGAAGGGCACUUCUUGCACACGGUCCAAGACAGCGAUCACCUGCCUUUGCCAGUACUAUGCUGGGUGCUGGGCAUAUGAAGACAGGUCACAGCUGCCUCUGCACUGAGCUGUGUAUGUGCGUGUAUCAGAUUCAAGAGGGUGGCAAGAGAUGAGUUAAAGAUCUUCUAGCUAAACCUCCCACUCGCCUUCAGCUCCAGGGGCGAGCCUGCUAACCUAGGAGAGCCGCCUGCUCUCAGAAACUGGAGUCCUUGGGGGGCGCUGUUGGCACCAUGCUAUGGCCCACUCCCUCCCUUCUCUCCCCAGAAUAACCACUGCUCAACAAGUUUGAGUCCUCGGGCAGUCUUCUCUGUCUGAAAACUGGAGAAAAGGAAGGCUCUAUAUCAAAACUCUCAGGGACCGAGGAAGGAAGUUAAAUAAACCCAAGAGUCCUGAAACAACCUGACAUUGGAGAAUCAACUAAUAGAAGCUACAGCACCGGGUUGAGCAAAUAAAACCUGCUCCUGCCUCCACAGAGCCUAGAAUGGGACAUCUUGAAAGAAUCCAGAGGCUGUUAGCCAUUUGAACCCUCAGAGAGAAAGCUCCAAGCACAGUGCUGCAGGCUGCAGUUCUCAGUUGCUGUUCCCUCCUUUCACAGGGUGAGGGAAAGCCGUGGUUGAUAAGCAGAUGGCCCAGCUGACCCUCAUCAGCCCGCGAACACUGCACGCAAAAAGAAUUAAUAAAUCAAAUCUAAGAGAGUUAAAAAGGGAGAUGGUUACAUCUUACCAAUAAGUUCAUUAUUUUCCACAUUGGCUCAGCUCUGGACUAUGUCAAAGAAAUGGAUGGUGUUAUCUAACGUAGCCCAGACCACCAGAAGGGGCAGCAUGGGCAGACCACACGCGAUCACGCGUGCACAUAAGCACGGAGGAUUCGGAAAGACCAAGAAAGUAAUCUAAGUAACAGAGGCCCAAGAUCUGGCGAUUCCAAAAGAGCAGUCUUGACUGUCUUCUCUGAGCUUUACAGAGUCACGUUUGCCCUGAUUACCCUGCGGAAACAGGAGGAACUCGUCUGGUCGGUUUCACCCAUUUGUUGGCAUUUCCCUGUUGCCAAAUAUAGGCCCCAGGAAUUGUGUUUAAUCACUCACUCUCUUGCCUUUUUGCAGCUCUCUCAAUUUGGUGCCAUGGAAUAGAGGAAAGUAACCCCUUUUACAGUUUAAUAAGAGGCACCUAUAAAAUCAGCUGUAACGGAUCCAAUCUGGUUGGGCCAGGGGCUGGGCAAGGCCAAAAAGAUUCAAAGGCGAACUGCCCUCCACCCACAUAAUUCAAAAUAAAAUUAAGCUAUAAAAUAAUGUUGGAGAGUUAAAAAUAUUCUAUUUCUGGUUGUUUGGGGUGGGGUUUUUUUGGUAAGAAAGGUUGGCCCUGAGCUAACAUCUGU
Long non-coding RNA from Equus caballus (horse), 2695 nucleotides. Lineage: Eukaryota; Metazoa; Chordata; Mammalia; Perissodactyla; Equidae. The record is from Ensembl.